RNAcentral lists this unclassified non-coding RNA (382 nucleotides) under uncultured fungus. RNAcentral's name for it is "sequence contains ITS1". The record is from RNAcentral. Lineage: Eukaryota; Fungi.
UUAAUCUAAUUAUUUUGUUAUUCAGAGGACACGUUUAUGAUGGUUUGAGAGUUCUUCUGGCGGGUUUGACCCCGCCAAAGAAACAAGGUAAUAUAAACAUGGGGUUGAAGAUUGGGCCCGGAGACCCUUUCUCAGUAAUGAUCCUUCCGCAGGUUCACCUACGGAACGCGGGAUUCUUAACCGACUCUGGUUAAGACCGGUCAUAUCUUACCCAUCAAACGGGUACCGCAUUUUGAUCUGUGGGCCAGUCCAGUGUUAGGUCUGGCUGCUGAUUCAACUAUGUGAGUCUCAGCAUUGUAGCGGCAUUGCUUGCAGGGCAAACUGCGCAAUUCUUUAACAGUCGCUGCGGAAGGCUUCAGAGGAUGGACUCCCUGGAAGGAAA